This 279-nucleotide unclassified non-coding RNA is filed under the name plant metagenome. RNAcentral's name for it is "partial contains small subunit ribosomal RNA, internal transcribed spacer 1, and 5.8S ribosomal RNA". The record is from RNAcentral.
UUUCCGUAGGUGAACCUGCGGAAGGAUCAUUAAAGUUAUGUUCCCCCGGCCCUUUGGGCGGGGGUCUUCUAUACCACCCUUUGUAUAUUAUACCUUUUUUGCGUUGGAAGGCCUGCCCUCGGGCUGCUGGCUCAGGCCGGCUAGCGUCUGCCUGAGAACCUAAACUCUGAUUGUAUAAGUAGAUUGAGUAGUAUAUAAUAGAUAAAACUUUCAAGAACGGAUCGCUUGGGUCUGGCAUAGAAGAAGAACGAAGCAGAUGGGAAUAGGACAGGACUGAAA